CGCUAGCUACAGGCUUAACACAUGCAAGUCGAGGGUCAGCAUGGUCUUAGCUUGCUAAGGCCGAUGGCGACCGGCGCACGGGUGAGUAACACGUAUCCAACCUGCCGUCUACUCUUGGACAGCCUUCUGAAAGGAAGAUUAAUACAAGAUGGCAUCAUGAGUCCGCAUGUUCACAUGAUUAAAGGUAUUCCGGUAGACGAUGGGGAUGCGUUCCAUUAGAUAGUAGGCGGGGUAACGGCCCACCUAGUCUUCGAUGGAUAGGGGUUCUGAGAGGAAGGUCCCCCACAUUGGAACUGAGACACGGUCCAAACUCCUACGGGAGGCAGCAGUGAGGAAUAUUGGUCAAUGGGCGAGAGCCUGAACCAGCCAAGUAGCGUGAAGGAUGACUGCCCUAUGGGUUGUAAACUUCUUUUAUAAAGGAAUAAAGUCGGGUAUGGAUACCCGUUUGCAUGUACUUUAUGAAUAAGGAUCGGCUAACUCCGUGCCAGCAGCCGCGGUAAUACGGAGGAUCCGAGCGUUAUCCGGAUUUAUUGGGUUUAAAGGGAGCGUAGAUGGAUGUUUAAGUCAGUUGUGAAAGUUUGCGGCUCAACCGUAAAAUUGCAGUUGAUACUGGAUAUCUUGAGUGCAGUUGAGGCAGGCGGAAUUCGUGGUGUAGCGGUGAAAUGCUUAGAUAUCACGAAGAACUCCGAUUGCGAAGGCAGCCUGCUAAGCUGCAACUGACAUUGAGGCUCGAAAGUGUGGGUAUCAAACAGGAUUAAAUACCCUGGUAGUCCACACGGUAACGAUGAAUACUCGCUGUUUGCGAUAUACACAAAGCGGCCAAGCGAAAGCGUUAAGUAUUCCACCUGGGGAGUACGCCGGCAACGGUGAAACUCAAAGGAAUUGACGGGGGCCCGCACAAGCGGAGGAACAUGUGGUUUAAUUCGAUAAUACGCGAGGAACCUUACCCGGGCUUAAAUUGCAGAUGAAUUACGGGAAAAGCCGUAAGCCGCAAGGCAUCUGUGAAGGUGCUGCAUGGUUGUCGUCAGCUCGUGCCGUGAGGUGUCGGCUUAAGUGCCAUAACGAGCGCAACCCUUGUUGUCAGUUACUAACAGGUUCCGCUGAGGACUCUGACAAGACUGCCAUCGUAAGAUGUGAGGAAGGUGGGGAUGACGUCAAAUCAGCACGGCCCUUACGUCCGGGGCUACACACGUGUUACAAUGGGGGGUACAGAGGGCCGCUACCACGCGAGUGGAUGCCAAUCCCCAAAACCUCUCUCAGUUCGGACUGGAGUCUGCAACCCGACUCCACGAAGCUGGAUUCGCUAGUAAUCGCGCAUCAGCCACGGCGCGGUGAAUACGUUCCCGGGCCUUGUACACACCGCCC
This 1365-nucleotide ribosomal RNA is filed under the name uncultured bacterium. Its description in RNAcentral is "16S ribosomal RNA". It matches the Rfam family "Bacterial small subunit ribosomal RNA", at positions 34 to 1395 of the family's 1533-position model. The record is from RNAcentral.